AGUCGGACGAGAAGGUUCCUUCGGGAACUGGAGAGUGGCGCACGGGUGAGUAACGCGUGGGGACCUACCUCUUAGUGGGGGAUAACGGUUGGAAACGACCGCUAAUACCGCAUACGCCCUUCGGGGGAAAGAUUUAUCGCUAAGAGAUGGACCCGCGUUGGAUUAGAUAGUUGGUGAGGUAACGGCUCACCAAGUCAGCGAUCCAUAGCUGGUUUGAGAGGAUGAUCAGCCACACUGGGACUGAGACACGGCCCAGACUCCUACGGGAGGCAGCAGUGGGGAAUAUUGGACAAUGGGGGCAACCCUGAUCCAGCCAUGCCGCGUGAGUGAAGAAGGCCUUCGGGUUGUAAAGCUCUUUCAGAUGCGAAGAUGAUGACGGUAACAUCAGAAGAAGCCCCGGCUAAUUUCGUGCCAGCAGCCGCGGUAA
RNAcentral lists this ribosomal RNA (427 nucleotides) under uncultured Thalassospira sp. RNAcentral's name for it is "bacterial SSU rRNA". It matches the Rfam family "Bacterial small subunit ribosomal RNA", at positions 60 to 523 of the family's 1533-position model. The record is from RNAcentral. Lineage: Bacteria; Pseudomonadati; Pseudomonadota; Alphaproteobacteria; Rhodospirillales; Thalassospiraceae.